UGCAAUGCGGGGUCGUAGGGCGUGGUAAUAGGGUGCGAGCAAGUUGUAAAUGGAAUUACGGAGCGGAAGGCGGGAGCAGGUGGCUUAUGAAGUCAGAGGUUAAAUCUCUAGGUUCAACGUGGGAACUGCAGUUGAAACUAAUAAACUAGAGUAGGGUAGAGGGAGGUAGAAUUCCAGGUGUAGCGGGGAAAGGCGUAGAUAUCUGGAGGAAGACCAGUGGCGAAGGCGACCUCCUGGACGAAAACUGACGCUCAAGCACGAAAGCAUGGGGAGCAAACAGGAUUAGAUACCCCGGAGUC
This 299-nucleotide ribosomal RNA is filed under the name uncultured Pyrobaculum sp. Its description in RNAcentral is "partial 16S ribosomal RNA". The stretch from base 52 to 299 matches the Rfam family "Bacterial small subunit ribosomal RNA", at positions 547 to 795 of the family's 1533-position model. Lineage: Archaea; Thermoproteati; Thermoproteota; Thermoprotei; Thermoproteales; Thermoproteaceae. The record is from RNAcentral.